RNAcentral lists this transfer RNA (70 nucleotides) under Termes group sp. F TB-2017. Its description in RNAcentral is "tRNA-Leu". The record is from RNAcentral. Lineage: Eukaryota; Metazoa; Arthropoda; Insecta; Blattodea; Termitidae.
UCUAACGUGGCAGAUAAGUGCAUUGGAUUUAAGCUCCACAAAUAAAGUUGUUUUUAAACUUUCAUUAGAA